GUCUCGAAGAGCUGGAGAUAUUUUUGCUUCAUUUCUUCCUCUAGCUCCCAAGUAGCUUCUCUUUCUGAAUGCCGACUCCACUGUACCUUGACAUAAGGAAUGUUGCGACAUCUCAGCACCUGUUCUUUACGGUCUACAAUCCGUAUCGGGUAUUCUUCAUAUGUUAGAUCCUUCCUGGCUUGUACUGGUUCAAGUUCCACAAUGUGACUUGGAUCUG
Molecule: long non-coding RNA, 217 nt
Filed under: Elaeis guineensis (African oil palm)
Lineage: Eukaryota; Viridiplantae; Streptophyta; Magnoliopsida; Arecales; Arecaceae
Description: long non-coding RNA (EGUI_LNC038110)
Source: RNAcentral